UGUUAGGUUCUCUCAGGAGUAGCUACGAAACUCCGGUGAACGGCAACCAUAACUAUAACGGGCCUAAGGUAGUGAAAUUCCUUGUCGGGUAAGUUCCGACCGCACAAAA
Molecule: ribosomal RNA, 109 nt
Organism: Beta vulgaris subsp. vulgaris (sugar beet)
Lineage: Eukaryota; Viridiplantae; Streptophyta; Magnoliopsida; Caryophyllales; Amaranthaceae
Rfam family: Bacterial large subunit ribosomal RNA
Source: Rfam